RNAcentral lists this ribosomal RNA (777 nucleotides) under uncultured Neocallimastigales. Its description in RNAcentral is "partial large subunit ribosomal RNA". It matches the Rfam family "Eukaryotic large subunit ribosomal RNA", at positions 20 to 642 of the family's 3401-position model. Lineage: Eukaryota; Fungi; Neocallimastigomycota; Neocallimastigomycetes; Neocallimastigales. The record is from RNAcentral.
CAUCACUACGCUAGAUGCAUAUCAAUAAGCGGAGGAAAAGAAACUAACAAGGAUUCCCCUAGUAACGGCGAGUGAAGCGGGAAGAGCUCAAAUUUGAAAUCUUCAAGGGUUUCCCUUGACGAAUUGUAGUUUAAAGAAGUGUUUUCUGUUAGAGAGGUGGCAAAAGUUCUUUGGAAUAGGACAUCAUAGAGGGUGAGAAUCCCGUAUUUGAUCACUUUCUACUAACGUUGUGAUACACUUUCAAAGAGUCGGAUUGUUUGGGAAUGCAGUCCAAAAUGGGUGGUAAAUUUCAUCUAAAGCUAAAUAUUGGCGAGAGACCGAUAGCGAACAAGUACCGUGAGGGAAAGAUGAAAAGAACUUUGAAAAGAGAGUUAAACAGUACGUGAAAUUGUCAAAAGGGAAGCGUUUGACACCAGUGUUGUUUUUCCGAAAAUCAAUUAAGAAUGGCCGGAUUUUAAGUUUCAUGACCUUAAAAGCUUGUUUCUUAUUUUUCUUGUCUUUCUUAAUGCACUUUUCGGUUAACAAGUCAACAUCAAUUUCUUUUGUUGUAAAAGGUUAAGAGGAAGGUGGCUUUACUUUCGGGUAAAGUGUUUAUAGCCUUUUAAUCUCUGCAAUCGGAGAGAUUGAGGUCUGCAGCGUAGAUCCUUCGGGGUUAGAUACAGUUGGUGCUAAGCUAUAGCCUUUUCAUAGACAACUUGUUGACUAUGCUCUAGUCAUGUAGCUUACUCGCAUGUGCUAUUUUACCUACGCUUAGGAUGUUGACACACGCGCGUGCUC